Molecule: microRNA precursor, 196 nt
Organism: Oryza sativa Japonica Group (Japanese rice)
Lineage: Eukaryota; Viridiplantae; Streptophyta; Magnoliopsida; Poales; Poaceae
Rfam family: MIR812 microRNA precursor family
Source: Rfam
CCGGGUUUCCGUGUCCAACGUUUCACCGUCUGUUUAAUUUUAAAAAAUUAUGAAAAAAAAAUAAAAAGACAAAUCACGCAUAAAGUAUUAAUCAUGUUUUAUCAUCUAACAACAAUAAAAAUACUAAUUAUAAAAAAAAUUUCAUAUAAGACGGACAAUCAAACAUUGGACACCGAAACCUAAGGUUUGUCUUUUU